This 260-nucleotide ribosomal RNA is filed under the name uncultured bacterium. RNAcentral describes it as "partial 16S ribosomal RNA". It matches the Rfam family "Bacterial small subunit ribosomal RNA", at positions 92 to 354 of the family's 1533-position model. The record is from RNAcentral.
CGACCGGCGCACGGGUGAGUAACACGUAUCCAACCUGCCGAUGACUCGGGGAUAGCCUUUCGAAAGAAAGAUUAAUACCCGAUGGCAUAGUUCUUCCGCAUGGUAGAACUAUUAAAGAAUUUCGGUCAUCGAUGGAGAUGCGUUCCAUUAGCUUGUUGGCGGGGUAACGGCCCACAAGGCAUCGAUGGAUAGGGGUUCUGAGAGGAAGGUCCCCCACAUUGGAACUGAGACACGGUCCAAACUCCUACGGGAGGCAGCAG